This 148-nucleotide non-coding RNA is filed under the name Chlorocebus sabaeus (green monkey). The record is from Rfam by way of RNAcentral. Lineage: Eukaryota; Metazoa; Chordata; Mammalia; Primates; Cercopithecidae.
GCCAGGCAUGGUGGCGGGUGCCUGUAAUCCCAGCUACUUGGGAGGCUGAGGCAGGAGAAUUGCUUGAACCCAGGAGGCAGAGGUUGCAGUGAGCCAAGAUCUCGCCAUUGCACUCCAGCCUGGGUGACAGAGCAAGACUUUGUCUUUA